UGAAAUUGGCGCGUUUAUACUGAAACGCUGCGUAUCAUUUAAACUGUUGUGGCGGUAAGAUGCGCUCGUAGCCAAUCAUUUCGCCAUGCCAGACACACGUGUACCAAUACAUGCACACGAACACCAAAACACAUGCAGUGAAGCGCCCAAAAGAUCAAAUGCGUUCUGGAUUUAAAAAUUCUAGGGUUCAUGCGAUGUUCAUACGCGUUCUUCAUCCUUUUUCCAGGUCAUGAACAUUUGUCACCAAAAUGCAAAGUGAAUA
Molecule: long non-coding RNA, 262 nt
Filed under: Lathyrus oleraceus (garden pea)
Lineage: Eukaryota; Viridiplantae; Streptophyta; Magnoliopsida; Fabales; Fabaceae
Description: Pisum sativum (pea) long non-coding RNA (PSAT_LNC009516)
Source: RNAcentral